Long non-coding RNA from Sorex araneus (European shrew), 724 nucleotides. RefSeq lists it as uncharacterized. The record is from RefSeq and is a predicted model, not a curated record. The transcript has 4 exons. Lineage: Eukaryota; Metazoa; Chordata; Mammalia; Eulipotyphla; Soricidae.
GGCCGAGAGGGCGGGGAGGGCGGGCGGCCCGGAGCUCCUCCCCUUGCCCGCCGCGCGCCAGGCCUGGCCUUCCUUGAGUCGGUGCGCGGGCCGCGAGGAGGAGCCGCUGGCCGGGACCUGCAGCGGGGCUGGCCGGGCUGGUUCGAGCCGGGCCGGGCACGUUGGGGCCGCCAGGUCGGGCGAUGCGGGCCGCGGGGCCAGUCCUGGGCGCCGAGGGGUCAGCGGGGCGCGGGCGGCUGGGUACCGCGGGCUGCACGUGGCCUGCUGCGGUGCCCGCGUGCUGGGUGCCCGCCUGCCGGUGCCCGGGCCUGCCCAGGAGCGUUCCUGGCUGGCGCAGGACGAUGCCCGGGCCGGCCCAGCUCGCCUCGGGCCAGGGUGGAGCCGGACUGAGAGGAGCAGAGACCCUCAGGGACGUGGGGGCUGGACCCGGCUGCGUAGCUAAAGGGGCUGACUUUUAAAGAACCCUGUGAUAAAUCAAGGAAUAACUCCUGGUGGUGCUCGGGGGACCAUGUGGGAUGCUGGGGAUUGAACCCGGGUGGCCGUGUGCAAGGCAAAUGCCCUACCUGCUGUGCUAUCGCUCCCACCAAGUUUUCAUGAGUGCUAGAAGGGGGCAGCUAGGCCCCAGCCCGCAGUGCUGGUGGGAGAUGGAGGUGCCCAGCCACUGGGACUGGUCUCUAGCACCCAGGAGGAAGAUUCGCUUCGGGAUCAUCACAGCAUCGCCGAG